Piliocolobus tephrosceles (Ugandan red Colobus) is the source of this 3606-nucleotide long non-coding RNA. RefSeq lists it as uncharacterized. The record is from RefSeq and is a predicted model, not a curated record. NCBI's taxonomy places the organism in Eukaryota, Metazoa, Chordata, Mammalia, Primates, Cercopithecidae. The transcript is spliced from 4 exons.
AAGCCCCACACUCCCUUCAUAACAGCCUCCAAAGCCCCAAAACCACUCUUUUCUUUUCCACUGAAACUUCCAUCCUGCAGCUCUCUAAGCCCAGGCAGCUGCCAGGCAAGAGAACUUGAUCUGACAAAUGAAUUCACACUAUUGUGAGAAUGACAUGCAGGCAGCACCUCAAAGGCCUCAGUUUCACGGUGCCACUGCAGACAGGAGCAGUGACCCAUAUGGCGGGGAGCACCAGCAGGAAUCACAGUGACAGGACCUGCACCAGGGGAGUAAGCCAGCUCAGCAGAGGUCAUUCUGGAGUCUCCCGUAAUUGUUCUCGCUGGACGAGGCAUUGGCAUGGCCAGUAGCCUGCACUGGGAUGUCACAGGAACCAUCUCAGGAAACUCCAGCCCAGGAAACUCCCUAUGGUGUAAGAACUUCUCAAAGGCAUUGCAUUUCUCGGUGACUUCCAGGCGCUGCCUGUGUGUCUGCACAGUACAGAGCACAACUGGCAAAGAACGGAGUUUCUCUUCCUUCUCCCACCAUGCUGCCCCUCCUCCUCCUUCUGCUGGGGCUUUUAUUCCCUGUGGGCCUUGCAGGCAGCACUAAAAAGGAACCUGGAAGCUGUGAGGUGUGGGAAAGUUUUCUUGACAUUUCUCCCAGAGGUGAACUGCAGAGAAUUGGGAACAAAGGGUGAAAUGAUCCUUCCAAAAGCCAUACAAAGAAUCAACGACAGUUGCAUUCAUCAAAAUUCUUGCUUACAUUUCUCUGGAGAAAAGCUAAGAUUUUCUCAUUGGGUUUCUGGCUCCCCGAAUUGAUGGGAAAUGGUAGCAGACAGCUCUGGAGGAAAUCUGGGCUCACCCAGAAAUCUGGGCUUAAUCAAUGAUUUCCGCCAUUCAUCCUUCUUACCAAGAGGCUCCUACAGUUCCACAUUGCUUCCAUCCCAAGUCAGAGGUACUUUUUGAAAACACAAAAGUUAAUAAAUUAAGAGAGGGGCCUUGCACAGGCCAGUACAGAGAAUUUUUGUGAACGAAGAACUAGAAACCCAGUCCAAUUUAAAAGUAUUACAAAAUUUUUUGGUAAUAUUUCAACAUGUAGAUAAAAUCAGAGACUGAUCCAGUGAAUAGGAGUGGACCCGUUUUCCAGCUCUAUUCUCUAGGGUAGACUUGGAGUAACAAACAACCCCCAAACCUCAGUGGCUGACAGUACUCGUCUCCCACUCAUCCUCCCAUCCUUCUAGGGUUGCCUGAGGGUGUCAUGCUCGCUCAGGGACUGGGGAGGACAGAAGCUUUGUCUCUGGGCUGCCAUGUUUGCCAAAGUUUUUGUGCACUGGCUCGGGAGGCCAGAAACAUAAGUCAAUUCCAGUCACAUUUCAUUGGCCAAGGCAAAUCUCUAGGCUGCUCCUUAUUCAAAGUGGGUGGGGAAAUGGAAUCCUACGAUGGGCCUGGUAGGCCGAGAGCCAGAAGUAUUUGGUGGGUAGCACGAAUGAUGGCCACAUCGGCUUCAGCAAAUAUUAACACAUUGCCUUAUUUGCUUCAUGUCUUUUUACUUCGAAGAAAGUAAAUACCAGCGAAACAAUUGAGUUUCUCUGUAUACCUCCCUCAUCCCAUUUUCUUCCCUCAUUUCCCAGAGCUAAGCACUGUUUUGAGAUCAGUGUUAAUCAUCUUCAUGCAUGUUUUUAUACUUUUACUAUUUUUACUACAUUUUUUAUGUAUCACAAACAUUGCAAAGUAUUAUUAUGCAGCCUUUUAAACUUUAUAUAGUGUAUAAUCAUAUCUAUAGUAUCAUUAUCUUCUGCAAUGUUCAUUUCCCCUUUAGCAUUACAAUUGUGAGAUUUGUAUCUAUGCUGACACAUACUGUGUUGUAUUCCAUUGUAUAACUAGAAUACAAUUUAAUUAUCUAUUCUCUUGUUGAUGGACAUUUAAGUUGUUUCCAGCACUGCAGUGAACAUCUUAAUACAUGUCUUCUUGACUAUAUGCCUAGGAGUGGAAUUUCUGGACAUGAUCAUCUUCAGCUGUAUUAGUUGUUGCCAAAUUGCUCUCUGGAGUACUUGGAUCAACUUACAGUUCCACUAGCAGUGAAUGAGACUCCGUGAUUUAACAUCUUUCCCAACACUUGGCAUUGACAUAUACUUUUGCUAUCUGGUGGGUGUGAAUGAUAUCUCAUUGGUGUUUGGAUUUGUAUUCCUUUAAUAGUGAGAGUAAGCAUCUUUUUAUAUUUUUAUUGACCUUCUGGAGUUCUUCUGUGAAUUGAUAGUUUUGCCCAUUUUCCCCCAUAUGUUGUCUUUUUCUUAAUAAUUUGAGAGAUUGCUUUACAUAUUGUAUUCAUUGCAAAUAUUAUCUUCCAGCCUAUGGCUUGUUCUUCACUUUGUUCUCAUGGCCUUUGUUGUACAAAAGUGAAUUUUAAUGUACUAGUCAACAUUACCACUUUUAAAAUUAAACGAACCACAAGUUUUUAUUUGCAGUGUUUUUAAAUGAACUCUUCAUCUUAAAGUCACAAAGAAUUUUUCUAUCUCUUCAUCUUCUGUUUUAAAGUUGUGCUUUUUUUUAAGUUCUUUAAUUCACCCAGGACUGAUCCGAUGUAGAAAUCUACUUUUGUAUUUUCCAUAUGGAUAAAAGUUGCUCCUAGCACUCAUUUAUCAGAUAGAACACGCUUUCCCCACUGGCGUGUAACAUCAUCUCUGCCCUGUCUUGUUUCCAAACAUGGGCAGGCCAGUGACUGGGCCCUCUAUUCUGCUCCCUUACUUAUCCCUGUGCCCAGACUAUAUUGUCUUCUUUACUAAAUAUUUUGAUAAUAGAUCUUGAUAUCUGGUAGGGCAAGUUCUUCCACCUUGUACUUUUUCAAAAUUGUUUCUCAGUUAUUCUUGGCCCUUUGCUCUUCCAAGGGAAUUUUGAGAUCAGAUUAUCUAGUUCAAAACAAAACCAAACACAAUCCAAACACAACCAAAAAAAAAAAAAGGUUGUGUUGGACUUCAGUUGAAAUUCAAAUUCUAUAAUUGAUUUGGGAAGAAUUGACAUCUUUAUGAGUUUACAUCUUCCUUUUUAUUUGUUUCCUUUUAUCUGGCGUGUGCUUAGGAUUUCCAAGCCCUCCAGAAGAUCCCAAACUUUUUCCUCUUCUUUCCUCUCUAACUCUUCUUACUUUGACCCAAACAUGACUUCCUUUCUAUUUCUUGUUUUGGCUUCAGUAUCUUUCCUUACAAUACCAUCCAUCUCUUUCAAAAGUCUCCUAAUUCUUCUAACUCUUUUCAGAUGUGCAAAAGGUAAAGCCCAGACACACGUCAUAAUAAUAGGAGGGGAAGGGAGUUCUGGCAGCCUCCUGUGAGGAGAUAGGAAGGCAUAAUUCCACAUGGGGGGUGCACAAUAAUCUCUCUGAGCUUCAGGAUGUAGUAUGUGCAGUGGUUAACAGCCCAGCCUGCUCGGUUUGAAUUCCAGCUCUAUCGUUUACCAACUCUGAUCUUGGGUAAAUUAUAUAACCUCAGCAUGCCUCAGUUUUCCCUUCUAUAAUGCAGGGAUGAAAAUGUUAAUUCUCUCAUUGGGUAACUGUGAAAAAUAAAUGAGCCAAAGUAUGUAAAGUACUGUCUGGGCACAGUGGCUCAUGCCUGUAAUCCCAGCACUUUGGGAGACUGAG